CCUACGGGUGGCAGCAGUGAGGAAUAUUGGUCAAUGGACGCAAGUCUGAACCAGCCAUGCCGCGUGCAGGAAGACGGCUCUAUGAGUUUUAAACUGUUUUUGUACGAGGGUAAACGCAGAUACGCGUAUCUGUCUGAAAGUAUCGUACGAAUAAGGAUCGGCUAACUCCGUGCCAGCAGCCGCGCUAAUACGGAGGGUUCAAGCGUUAUCCGGAUUUAUUGGGUUUAACGGGUGCGUAGGCGGUCGGAUAAGUUAGAGGUGAAAUCCCGAGGCUCAACUUCGGAAUUGCCUCUGAUACUGUUCGGCUUGAGAGUAGUUGAGGUAGGUGGAAUGUAUGGUGUAGCGGUGAAAUGCUUAGAGAUCAGACAGAACACCGAUUGCGAAGGCAGCUUCCCAAGCUACUUCUGACGUUGAGGCACGAAAGCGUGGGGAGCAAACAGGAUUAGAUACCCGAGUAGUC
Molecule: ribosomal RNA, 460 nt
Filed under: uncultured bacterium
Lineage: Bacteria
Description: partial 16S ribosomal RNA
Rfam family: Bacterial small subunit ribosomal RNA
Source: RNAcentral